CCUACGGGGGACAGCAGUGAGGAAUAUUGGUCAAUGGGCGAGAGCCUGAACCAGCCAAGUCGCGUGAAGGAUGACGGCCCUACGGGUUGUAAACUUCUUUUGUCAGGGAGCAAUUGGGUCCACGCGUGGGCUUAGCGAGAGUACCUGAAGAAAAAGCAUCGGCUAACUCCGUGCCAGCAGCCGCGGUAAUCCGGGGGAUGCGAGCGUUAUCCGGAUUUAUUGGGUUUAACGGGUGCGUAGGCGGAAUAUCAAGUCAGCGGUAAAAAUUCGGGGCUCAACCCCGUCGUGCCGUUGAAACUGAUGGUCUUGAGUGGGCGAGAAGUAUGCGGAAUGCGUGGUGUAGCGGUGAAAUGCAUAGAUAUCACGCAGAACUCCGAUUGCGAAGGCAGCAUACCGGCGCCCAACUGACGCUGAAGCACGAAAGCGUGGGUAUCGAACAGGAUUAGAUACCCUGGUAGUC
Molecule: ribosomal RNA, 460 nt
Filed under: uncultured bacterium
Lineage: Bacteria
Description: partial 16S ribosomal RNA
Rfam family: Bacterial small subunit ribosomal RNA
Source: RNAcentral